AGUGAACGCUGGCGGUAGGCCUAACACAUGCAAGUCGAACGGCAGCACCGUAAGAGCUUGCUCUUACGGGUGUCGCGUGGCGGACGGUUGCGGAGUAUAUCGGAAUCUACUUUUUCGUGGGGGCUAACGUAGGGUAACUUACGCUAAUACCGCAUACGACCUACGGGUGAAAGCAGGGGAUCUUCUGACCUUGCGCGAUUGAAUGAGCCGAUGUCGGAUUAGCUAGUUGGCGGGGGAAAGGCCCACCAAGGCGACGAUCCGUAGCUGGUAUGAGGGGAUGAAUAGACACACGGUAAGUGAGACAGGGUCGAGACUCCGACAGGAGGCAGCAGUGGAGAAUAUUGGACGAGGGACGCAAGGCUGAUCCAGCCAUACCGCGUGGGUGAAGAAGGACUACUGGUUGGAAAGCGCUGUUGUUGGGAGAGAAAAGCAGCACGUUAAUACCCCACUGUUCUGACGGUACCCAAAGAAUAAGCACCGGCUAACUUCGUG
Molecule: ribosomal RNA, 492 nt
Filed under: uncultured bacterium
Lineage: Bacteria
Description: partial 16S ribosomal RNA
Rfam family: Bacterial small subunit ribosomal RNA
Source: RNAcentral